Long non-coding RNA from Sebastes umbrosus (honeycomb rockfish), 3185 nucleotides. RefSeq lists it as uncharacterized. NCBI's taxonomy places the organism in Eukaryota, Metazoa, Chordata, Actinopteri, Perciformes, Sebastidae. The transcript is spliced from 2 exons. The record is from RefSeq and is a predicted model, not a curated record.
CAAGGUGUAAUUUGGAAUGAGAAAGGGGGCAUUUCUUGCUGUGGUUUAUACACACAAAGGGCUGGAAGUGCUGCGGCUGAUUGCUGUUACUACGAGGACUCUUUCUGUCUGUGCCAAAUGUGAAACAAAACCUAACAACAUCCCUUUGGUGUGUUUCAUGCUUCUUGGCAUAAAGACAAUACUGUAAAUCUAAUGAACAGAUUAUGUUUACAGUUCUCCUCUCAAUGUUCUCUGGAUUAAUUUCAACAAAGUUUUUAUUUUCAUCUCAAUAAUAUUUCAGGGGAAAAGGAUAUUGCAGGACUCUUUGGAGGCUCAUGAAAACAUCAAAACAGCGGUAGGUGCAGCGUCAGGAGAUGGAACGUUUUCUUGGAAAAUCGCUCCUUAAAAGUUGUCUCUCUGGCUGAAGUUGACAGACACUUUCAGAUUGCAGACUUCAGACACGAAAUCCCCGUUGAGGCUUUACUUUGCAUCUGCGUGCAAGUGCGUUCGCUUGUGUGUAUUUCUUUGUCUACCAUAUGUAUAUACAAGCAUGUCUGUGAGCGUCGUAUGCUUAUAGAUGUCUAAAUGUAUGUGCAUGUAUCAGACGAGGGCACAGAGAAUCGUCUCUGUGGAACAUCUAAUCGGGAGCCAUUUUUCCAGCCAUGCUCACAUCCGGAUGCAAGCAAGCAACAGAUGGCAGGACUGGGCGCUGUGGCCGAUUUAGUCCGCUCGUGUUUGCUAGGAAGUAAUUGUGUUUUAACCUGGAGAGAAACUGAAUAUUACAGCCAUGCAGGCAAACAAAUUAUAGUCACCUCGCUGGCCAGCAGAUGACUCUAUUUGUCUCAUGUCCAGAUGGAGUUCGAAGAAAAUAAAUUGGUCUGUGAUGCUGCAUGGACUGAAUGCACUUGUGUGCGUGCAUCUGACUGUUUGCUCGCACGUCUCUUUGUCUGUCUUUCUACCUGUCUGUCUACCUGUUUAUCUCCUCCACAGCUGCCCGUCUGCCUCCUCAUAUAUCAGCCUGUCUGUUUUUGUAUCGUGGCAGAUGUUUCAAUGCUGCAGGUCUUUAUAUCAGAAAAGGCAGCAGAGGGAAAAAAUACUGUUCAGGUGGAUUAGAGCGUCCGUACAUUCACUUCAGCAUUGUGCCACAGAUUGUCUUUUGAUGCCAAACGCCGCCCUGGGGGACAUAAAUACUUACUAGAGAUUGGUAUGGUUUCAAGAUAAGCAUUCAUUAGCAUGAACAUCAACAAAAGAUCUGCCACGCUGAUCUCUCUACAAAUUAAGUCACUUUUUUCUAUUUCACGUCUCCCUGAUUUUCAACACUCGCUGUUUAUAUAAAACAUUCUUGAAUGAAGUGUUCAUUCACUGUCAAUUCCUGCGCCGCGUGCCAACUGUGUGCAUCAGAAAAUCCCCUGCAAUCUUUGUUUUGGCUAGUGUGAGGCGGCAAGUGAUUACCCAGAGUGCUUUCGGAAGUUAAUGUUCAUGGUCUGCACAGCGGGAUUCUAGGAGUGAUGACAGAGGAAGUGCCUCGGGGCGAGCGUCUCUUCGCUGCCAUCUCACUUUCACUGUUUCUGACAACGCGUUUACCCCAACAGAUGGCUCCAAUGCUCAAACACAGACACUGUGAGGCUAUGAAGAAUUGCGUGGGCCGAUACAACACAAAGAUGUGCAGAAAAUCCAAAACCAACUAGUGUGAAUUAAUGUAGAAUUGACUAAUGGGAUCUGUAAUGUGUUGAAAUAACUUGGUCAAAGGGCUCCAUCAUGUUUACUUUUACAUGAACGCAAAUCAUUCACUAUCUUAUUAUUUCAUCAGUUUAUUUCCUCUAUAACUUUACUUUUAUUCACUUUUUAAUACAGUGAAAUACUGCUGGUUAAAAGUGAUCACAAGAACAAAAAAAAUGCAGGAAAUCUACAAAAUACGAACUUCAAAGAAUAGCAAGUGUUGUUAGGGUAAAAGUGUGUAGUAUAGGAAGAAUGUGUGUGUGUGUAGGGAAUAUGACUCGAUGACACCUUGGUCCCAAACUGCAGCUCAUUCUGUAAAAGUGUUUUCUUUGCAUAUCAAAGAAGAAGAGUUCAGCUAUUUCUUCAGGCCGCUGAAAUGACACACAGCACGACGUCAGAAUGUGACUUACUGAGUAGUUCAGCGGCAUGAAAUAGUGUAUUUGUGUGUGCAUUCAGAAUACUGCAUUCAGAAUACCCCAAAACGCCAAUUCUCUAUCAUGUUGGACCACAAUCAUUUGUCCUCAAAGACAAGACUGUAUAUAAGCCGUAACACUUUGAAGUCAAAUAUGAAUCUCAAAGAACCUUAAGCCCAUAAAUAAUAUCUGAGCGUUUCUGACUCUUGACGGUAGCAUCACAAACAAAAGUGUGGUAGAUAGCAAUGCACACCACUACAUUGACUAUCUGACUGGCAUAACUGCAGUACAGUUUAGCUCUGUGAAACUUGUUUGAAGGAAUAGUUUGACAUUUUGAGAAUUCACUUUAUUACCAAGAGUUAGAUGAGAUGAUUGAUACCAUUCUCAUGUCUGUAUGGUAAAUAUUUAGCUAGUGCCAGCAGCUGGUUAGCUUAGCUUAGCACAAAGAUUGGACACAGUUAGCAAACAGGCAUGGUAGUGGUAUCAAUCUCCUGAUUUAACUCUUGGCAAGAGAGUGAAUACACUUAUUUCCCAAAAUGUCAAACUACUCUUUUAACAAAAUCAGCAGCUUGAGUACAUACACUGAAAUUCUGGAUCAGUUUUGGAUCACAACUAUUGUAUGUUUUGUUUUACUACCGAUUACAAUGACGCAGUUCUCAGAAUAUUCUGGAGUUUGAUUGUAGUUGAAGUCAUCUCCAUAGCAACGGCUGCUGAGGCUCAACCUGAUCAUAGAAAUGUGAAUUUUCAGUAAAAAGGUUUAAUUAUUUUUUUUACAGAUGACCAUAACAUGACCCCAGUAGUGUAACCGAAUUAUCCAGGAGACUCCCAUGUUUCAGAAUCAGAAUCAGAAUCAGAAUCAGAAUCAGAAUCAGAAUGGUGUUUAUUGCCAGGUGUAAGAGGUAUGCACUAGGAAUUUUCUUUGGUUUUACAUGUGGUUGUUUCUGUAUUGAAUAACAGUUAAGUUGAAAAAAUUCAUUCUGAUGUAAAUUUACAAUGAAAAAUAACUUUUUUUGAUCUUUUAGUUUCGCUCAAUUCAGAUUUUAAAUUCAUAAAAUCAAACAAGAGUGAAAAAAA